RNAcentral lists this ribosomal RNA (492 nucleotides) under uncultured bacterium. RNAcentral describes it as "partial 16S ribosomal RNA". It matches the Rfam family "Bacterial small subunit ribosomal RNA", at positions 29 to 507 of the family's 1533-position model. The record is from RNAcentral.
AGUGAACGCUGGCGGUAGGCCUAACACAUGCAAGUCGAACGGCAGCACAGUAAGAGCUUGCUCUUACGGGUGGCGAGUGGCGGACGGGUGAGGAAUACAUCGGAAUCUACUUUUUCGUGGGGGAUAACGUAGGGAAACUUACUCUAAUACCGCAUACUACCUACGGGUGAAAGCAGGGGAUCUUCGGACCUUGCGCGAUUGAAUGAGCCGAUGUCGGAUUAGCUAGUUGGCGGGGUAAAGGCCCACCAAGGCGACGAUCCGUAGCUGGUCUGAGAGGAUGAUCAGCCACACUGGAACUGAGACACGGUCCAGACUCCUACGGGAGGCAGCAGUGGGGAAUAUUGGACAAUGGGCGCAAGCCUGAUGCAGCCAUACCGCGUGGAUGAAGAAGGCCUUCGGGUUGUAAAGUCCUUUUGUUGGGAAAGAAAAGCAGCAGGUUAAUACCCCGCUGUUCUGACGGUACCCAAAGAAUAAGCACCGGCUAACUUCGUG